Molecule: ribosomal RNA, 2374 nt
Filed under: Klebsiella quasipneumoniae
Lineage: Bacteria; Pseudomonadati; Pseudomonadota; Gammaproteobacteria; Enterobacterales; Enterobacteriaceae
Description: partial 23S ribosomal RNA
Rfam family: Bacterial large subunit ribosomal RNA
Source: RNAcentral
GCAGUGGGAGCACCUUCGGGUGUGACUGCGUACCUUUUGUAUAAUGGGUCAGCGACUUAUAUUCUGUAGCAAGGUUAACCGUAUAGGGGAGCCGCAGGGAAACCGAGUCUUAACUGGGCGUUAAGUUGCAGGGUAUAGACCCGAAACCCGGUGAUCUAGCCAUGGGCAGGUUGAAGGUUGGGUAACACUAACUGGAGGACCGAACCGACUAAUGUUGAAAAAUUAGCGGAUGACUUGUGGCUGGGGGUGAAAGGCCAAUCAAACCGGGAGAUAGCUGGUUCUCCCCGAAAGCUAUUUAGGUAGCGCCUCGUGAAUUCAUCUUCGGGGGUAGAGCACUGUUUCGGCUAGGGGGUCAUCCCGACUUACCAACCCGAUGCAAACUACGAAUACCGAAGAAUGUUAUCACGGGAGACACACGGCGGGUGCUAACGUCCGUCGUGAAGAGGGAAACAACCCAGACCGCCAGCUAAGGUCCCAAAGUCAUGGUUAAGUGGGAAACGAUGUGGGAAGGCACAGACAGCCAGGAUGUUGGCUUAGAAGCAGCCAUCAUUUAAAGAAAGCGUAAUAGCUCACUGGUCGAGUCGGCCUGCGCGGAAGAUGUAACGGGGCUAAACCAUGCACCGAAGCUGCGGCAGCGACGCUUAGGCGUUGUUGGGUAGGGGAGCGUUCUGUAAGCCUGCGAAGGUGACCUGUGAGGGUUGCUGGAGGUAUCAGAAGUGCGAAUGCUGACAUAAGUAACGAUAAAGCGGGUGAAAAGCCCGCUCGCCGGAAGACCAAGGGUUCCUGUCCAACGUUAAUCGGGGCAGGGUGAGUCGACCCCUAAGGCGAGGCCGAAAGGCGUAGUCGAUGGGAAACAGGUUAAUAUUCCUGUACUUGGUGUUACUGCGAAGGGGGGACGGAGAAGGCUAUGUUAGCCGGGCGACGGUUGUCCCGGUUUAAGCAUGUAGGCUGGUUAUCCAGGCAAAUCCGGAUAAUCAAGGCUGAGGUGUGAUGACGAGGCACUACGGUGCUGAAGUAACAAAUGCCCUGCUUCCAGGAAAAGCCUCUAAGCAUCAGGUAACAUCAAAUCGUACCCCAAACCGACACAGGUGGUCAGGUAGAGAAUACCAAGGCGCUUGAGAGAACUCGGGUGAAGGAACUAGGCAAAAUGGUGCCGUAACUUCGGGAGAAGGCACGCUGGUGUGUAGGUGAAGUCCCUGCGGAUGGAGCUGAGACCAGUCGAAGAUACCAGCUGGCUGCAACUGUUUAUUAAAAACACAGCACUGUGCAAACACGAAAGUGGACGUAUACGGUGUGACGCCUGCCCGGUGCCGGAAGGUUAAUUGAUGGGGUUAUCCGUAAGGAGAAGCUCUUGAUCGAAGCCCCGGUAAACGGCGGCCGUAACUAUAACGGUCCUAAGGUAGCGAAAUUCCUUGUCGGGUAAGUUCCGACCUGCACGAAUGGCGUAAUGAUGGCCAGGCUGUCUCCACCCGAGACUCAGUGAAAUUGAACUCGCUGUGAAGAUGCAGUGUACCCGCGGCAAGACGGAAAGACCCCGUGAACCUUUACUAUAGCUUGACACUGAACAUUGAGCCUUGAUGUGUAGGAUAGGUGGGAGGCUUUGAAGCGUGGACGCCAGUCUGCGUGGAGCCAACCUUGAAAUACCACCCUUUAAUGUUUGAUGUUCUAACGUGGGCCCCUUAUCGGGGUUGCGGACAGUGUCUGGUGGGUAGUUUGACUGGGGCGGUCUCCUCCCAAAGCGUAACGGAGGAGCACGAAGGUUAGCUAAUCCUGGUCGGACAUCAGGAGGUUAGUGCAAUGGCAUAAGCUAGCUUGACUGCGAGCGUGACGGCGCGAGCAGGUGCGAAAGCAGGUCAUAGUGAUCCGGUGGUUCUGAAUGGAAGGGCCAUCGCUCAACGGAUAAAAGGUACUCCGGGGAUAACAGGCUGAUACCGCCCAAGAGUUCAUAUCGACGGCGGUGUUUGGCACCUCGAUGUCGGCUCAUCACAUCCUGGGGCUGAAGUAGGUCCCAAGGGUAUGGCUGUUCGCCAUUUAAAGUGGUACGCGAGCUGGGUUUAGAACGUCGUGAGACAGUUCGGUCCCUAUCUGCCGUGGGCGCUGGAGAAUUGAGGGGGGCUGCUCCUAGUACGAGAGGACCGGAGUGGACGCAUCACUGGUGUUCGGGUUGUCAUGCCAAUGGCACUGCCCGGUAGCUAAAUGCGGAAGAGAUAAGUGCUGAAAGCAUCUAAGCACGAAACUUGCCCCGAGAUGAGUUCUCCCUGAGACUUUAAGUCUCCUGAAGGAACGUUGAAGACGACGACGUUGAUAGGCCGGGUGUGUAAGCGCAGCGAUGCGUUGAGCUAACCGGUACUAAUGAACCGUGAGGCUUAACCUU